RNAcentral lists this ribosomal RNA (391 nucleotides) under uncultured bacterium. RNAcentral's name for it is "bacterial SSU rRNA". It matches the Rfam family "Bacterial small subunit ribosomal RNA", at positions 30 to 423 of the family's 1533-position model. The record is from RNAcentral.
AUUGAACGCUGGCGGCAUGCCUUACACAUGCAAGUCGAACGGCAGCACGGGAGCAAUCCUGGUGGCGAGUGGCGAACGGGUGAGUAAUAUAUCGGAACGUGCCCAGUCGUGGGGAUAACGUAGCGAAAGCUACGCUAAUACCGCAUACUAUCUAUGGAUGAAAGCGGGGGAUCGCAAGACCUCGCGCGAUUGGAGCGGCCGAUAUCAGAUUAGGUAGUUGGUGAGGUAAAGGCUCACCAAGCCGACGAUCUGUAGCUGGUCUGAGAGGACGACCAGCCACACUGGACUGAGACACGGCCCAGACUCCUACGGGAGGCAGCAGUGGGGAAUUUUGGACAAUGGGCGCAAGCCUGAUCCAGCAAUGCCGCGUGCAGGAUGAAGGCCUUCGGUU